This is a long non-coding RNA of Saccostrea echinata, 372 nucleotides long. RefSeq lists it as uncharacterized. The record is from RefSeq and is a predicted model, not a curated record. NCBI's taxonomy places the organism in Eukaryota, Metazoa, Mollusca, Bivalvia, Ostreida, Ostreidae. The transcript has 2 exons.
CCAGUCGUGGGGGUAAAUCUGUGAAUCCUCACCGUCAACAGCGUAAUCCGCUGGAUCUGAGUAGAUUAUUAUUGCUAUAGCUCCAUGAAGGAUAGGAAAGCAGUACAUCAUAUGGUGUGAUGAAAGCUUCAUCAAGACCCACCGAUUUCCAGAAGUCAUGAAGCUCCUUAGCCUGUUUAUAAUCUGCAUCUGUUCCAGCGAGAUGAGGGUAUUCAGAGAGUUCUCUAUUUAAAAAAGUGCACAAUAUUUGACAACUAUUAGAAAUUCGUCAAUUUUGUCCACGUUUCCACAUCGUCAAAGUUUCAACUUUUACAGUAUCAUAAAGGUCUAUGUUAUCUUUGUCUGAUCUCUGAAAUAUAUCUAUAAAUGACA